GUCAAAACUGAAAGAGGAGAGAGUUCAGCUCCUCUGAACCAUCAGUUUUGUUGAGGAGUAUAACCUGGCAGGACCUUUAUCAGGUAGGUUGAUUGGGUUUUGCUUUCACAGUAUUUUGAGAGGGCAGACAAGGAUCCCAGUGAGCACGGAACUCCAGUAAUAAGUGCAGCAGAACUUGACAAAGUAUUCUAGGUGAUGGUGGGAGGGUUCAGGUUGAAUAUCCCUGGUGGGAAAAAACAUGGGUCCACAGCAUAUCUGUCGCAAGAAGAAGCAACAUCUGGAGGGACAGCAAUAAAGGGCUUUGCCUAACUUGAAAGAGUAGUCUCAGUGUGAGCCUGAAAAGGGCAUCUGUGAAUGAAGAUGAAGGGUUUCUUUUCCAGCUGUUGACCUAAUCUUUACUAUUUUCUGUCUACCCGUAGGUACAAGCCGUUCCUCCAGAACACGUGUUGCUGUAUUUGUUGCUUUGAUAAUCCUACUGGCCUUAGCAGUGUGCCUGAUUGUCCUAAACCUUCCAACUGCCAGCAGCUCACCUGGCUCAGAAACAUCAUCCAACACCCCUGAAGAGGCACCUGGUAGGUUACCCUCUAUCAUUCAAAAGAGACUCUCCAGAAGCCUCUUAGGUUGCCAUUUAAGCGAAGGGGGAAGGUGUCUAGAUUGUGUUAAGAAGAA
RNAcentral lists this long non-coding RNA (669 nucleotides) under Calidris pugnax (ruff). Its description in RNAcentral is "lncRNA (ENSCPUG00000016659.1)". Lineage: Eukaryota; Metazoa; Chordata; Aves; Charadriiformes; Scolopacidae. The record is from RNAcentral.